RNAcentral lists this ribosomal RNA (116 nucleotides) under Sinocyclocheilus rhinocerous. The record is from RNAcentral. Lineage: Eukaryota; Metazoa; Chordata; Actinopteri; Cypriniformes; Cyprinidae.
GCCAUAGCCAUAUCACCCUGCAGCCCAAGACUGGUUGCCCACUGAAGCUAAGCAGGGUUGAGCCUGGUCAGUACCUGGAUGGGAGACCUCCUGGGAAAACUAGGUUGCUGCUGGAA